RNAcentral lists this ribosomal RNA (715 nucleotides) under uncultured Salinivibrio sp. RNAcentral describes it as "bacterial SSU rRNA". It matches the Rfam family "Bacterial small subunit ribosomal RNA", at positions 596 to 1310 of the family's 1533-position model. Lineage: Bacteria; Pseudomonadati; Pseudomonadota; Gammaproteobacteria; Vibrionales; Vibrionaceae. The record is from RNAcentral.
GAAAGCCCGGGGCUCAACCUCGGAACCGCAUUUGAAACUGGCAGGCUAGAGUCUUGUAGAGGGGGGUAGAAUUUCAGGUGUAGCGGUGAAAUGCGUAGAGAUCUGAAGGAAUACCAGUGGCGAAGGCGGCCCCCUGGACAAAGACUGACGCUCAGAUGCGAAAGCGUGGGUAGCAAACAGGAUUAGAUACCCUGGUAGUCCACGCCGUAAACGCUGUCUACUUGGAGGUUGAGGUUUAAGACUUUGGCUUUCGGCGCUAACGCAUUAAGUAGACCGCCUGGGGAGUACGGCCGCAAGGUUAAAACUCAAAUGAAUUGACGGGGGCCCGCACAAGCGGUGGAGCAUGUGGUUUAAUUCGAUGCAACGCGAAGAACCUUACCUACUCUUGACAUCCAGAGAACUUUCCAGAGAUGGAUUGGUGCCUUCGGGAACUCUGAGACAGGUGCUGCAUGGCUGUCGUCAGCUCGUGUUGUGAAAUGUUGGGUUAAGUCCCGCAACGAGCGCAACCCUUAUCCUUGUUUGCCAGCACGUAAUGGUGGGAACUCCAGGGAGACUGCCGGUGAUAAACCGGAGGAAGGUGGGGACGACGUCAAGUCAUCAUGGCCCUUACGAGUAGGGCUACACACGUGCUACAAUGGCAGAUACAGAGGGCAGCGAGGCUGCGAAGUGGAGCGAAUCCCUUAAAGUUUGUCGUAGUCCGGAUUGGAGUCUGCAA